CACGUAGGGUGCGAGCGUUGUCCGGAAUUAUUGGGCGUAAAGGGCUCGUAGGCGGUCCAUCGCGUCGGGAGUGAAAAGCUGGGGCUUAACCCCAGUCCUGCUUCCGAUACGGGUGGACUAGAGGUAGGCAGGGGAGAACGGAAUUCCUGGUGUAGCGGUGAAAUGCGCAGAUAUCAGGAGGAACACCGGUGGUGAAAACGAGUCUCUGGUCCGCUUCUGACGCUCAGGUGCGAAAGCUAGGGGAGCAAACGGG
This 253-nucleotide ribosomal RNA is filed under the name uncultured bacterium. Its description in RNAcentral is "partial 16S ribosomal RNA". It matches the Rfam family "Bacterial small subunit ribosomal RNA", at positions 524 to 776 of the family's 1533-position model. The record is from RNAcentral.